UACGGAGAGUGCAAGCAUUAAUCGGAAUUAUUGGGCGUAAAGGGCGCGUAGGCGGAUGGGAAAGUCAGAUGUGAAAUUCUGGAGCUCAACUCCAGAGCUGCAUUUGAAACUGUCUAUCUCGAGGGUUGACGGAGAAAACGGAAUUCCACGUGUAGCGGUGAAAUGCGUAGAUAUGUGGAAGAACACCUGUGGCGAAAGCGGUUUUCUAGUUAAUACCUGACGCUGAGGCGCGAGAGCAAGGGGAUCAAACAGG
RNAcentral lists this ribosomal RNA (253 nucleotides) under uncultured bacterium. RNAcentral describes it as "partial 16S ribosomal RNA". It matches the Rfam family "Bacterial small subunit ribosomal RNA", at positions 524 to 776 of the family's 1533-position model. The record is from RNAcentral.